GCGAACCUUACCCUUGCAUCGUUGCCUCGGCGGGCUGCGCUCCCUCGGGGGCCCCCGCCGGCGGCCUACAACUCUUCUGCUUCUUAAGCGUUGGCAUCUCCGAGUAAAAACACAAACGAAUCAAAACUUUCAACAACGGAUCUCUUGGUUCUGGCAUCGAUGAAGAACGCAGCGAAAUGCGAUAAGUAAUGUGAAUUGCAGAAUUCAGUGAACCAUCGAAUCUUUGAACGCACAUUGCGCCCGCCGGCAUCCCGGCGGGCAUGCCUGUCCGAGCGUCAUUACAACCCUCAGGUCCUCGCGUCCUGGUGUUGGGGCCCUGCGCGGCAGGCCCCGAAAGACAGCGGCGGGUGCGUCCCGGAACCGAACGCAGUAGUUACUUCUCGUUCUGGCCCAGGGCGUGCUCCAGCCGUAAAAACCACUUAUCUUCAUAAGUUGACCUCGGAUCAGGUAGGAAUACCCGCUGAACUUAAGCAUAUCAAUAAGGCGGAGGA
This 491-nucleotide ribosomal RNA is filed under the name Chaetosphaeriales sp. OGPBioA1. Its description in RNAcentral is "eukaryotic LSU rRNA". The stretch from base 125 to 278 matches the Rfam family "5.8S ribosomal RNA". Lineage: Eukaryota; Fungi; Ascomycota; Sordariomycetes; Chaetosphaeriales. The record is from RNAcentral.